This 82-nucleotide small RNA is filed under the name Brucella intermedia 229E. RNAcentral's name for it is "Ochrobactrum intermedium 229E Makes More Granules Regulator RNA (mmgR)". It matches the Rfam family "Makes More Granules Regulator RNA (mmgR)". Rfam says of the family: SuhB later renamed mmgR (makes more granules regulator) was a putative non-coding RNA found multiple times in the Agrobacterium tumefaciens genome and related alpha-proteobacteria. Other non-coding RNAs uncovered in the same analysis include: speF, ybhL, metA, and serC. Several studies inSinorhizobium meliloti showed that suhB element is indeed a non-coding RNA:firstly it was detected on Northern blot and called Sm8RNA, secondly in an RNAseq study referred to as SmelC689. The record is from Rfam by way of RNAcentral. Lineage: Bacteria; Pseudomonadati; Pseudomonadota; Alphaproteobacteria; Hyphomicrobiales; Brucellaceae.
UGUCUAUGCCUUUCGGGGGGGCAUUUCCUCCCUAGUCUUUGGCCGCGCUCGUAUCGUUCGGGCGCGGUUCUUUUUAUCUGCG